Molecule: long non-coding RNA, 4284 nt
Organism: Nerophis ophidion (straightnose pipefish)
Lineage: Eukaryota; Metazoa; Chordata; Actinopteri; Syngnathiformes; Syngnathidae
Exons: 2
Source: RefSeq, a predicted model, not a curated record
CUCUACAGAACUGUUUCAUGAGGGGUUCCCUCAAUCUCCUGAUGAUUGAGGGAACCCCUCAUGAAACGGUUCUGUAGAGAUGAAGUAGUCUUGUGAUUUUUCCCACACAUACAUAUAUGUAUAUAUUUAUGAAAUACUUGACUUUCAAUGAAUUCUAGCUAUAUAUAUUUAUUUUAUUAUAUAUAUAUAUAUAUAUAUAUAUAUAUAUAUAUAUAUAUAUAUAUAUAUAUAUAUAGAAAUAAAAUAAAUAGUUGAAUUUCAGACGGCACCUAUCAAAUACACAGUAAUAAAUACACAGUUCUACUAACUGUACUGUGCUUGCUGGUUAUUUAAAAAAAAAAAACAACAACACUUACCUUUCAUUAUUUGAGUAACCUUUGUUCUGCCAUUUGUGUGCCGUACUGGCGAGAGUCACUUGCCGUCAGGUGCACAACCCCAUGUAAAUCUUUGGCCAAUCAAAAAGCAACCCCAUAACGCUAUAGCCAAUAGUCACCAGGAGAUGGCGACAGACAACAUAGGAUCACUCUAUUACAAACGGCGUCGCCAUGGCUGUAACUUCCUCGUCCUUCUGCUUCGUCUCCUUGUGUGUGCAGUUUUUUCUUAAAAAUCCGUAGAUGUUGUAACGUGAUUGGGCAGGCAAUUUGUUUACAUCGUGGGAAUCAUGUCUGCAUGGAGCUGGAGGGGGCGUGAAUUUCGGGAGGUUUCCGUGAGAAAAUUUCUUCCGGGAGGUUUUCGGGAGAGGCGCUGAAUUUCAGGAGUCUCCCGGAAAUUCCGGGAGGGUUGGCAAGUAUGGACUCGGCCGGGGUUCGAACUCACGACCUACCGAUCUCAGGGCAUACACUCUAACCACUUACCUGAUUGGCUGUUAGCGUGUCACUCCCACUGAUCAGUCAUCACUUCCUGUCUUGCUGGGUUACCAGAGAGCGAGUGCAUUUGUUUAUUUCAGACAAAGAAGAAAUUAAAAUUAACACAUUUUGUAAUUGAUAUCAAUUUUUGUGUAUCGCGAUAUAUACUGAUAUCAUUGUAUCGCCCAGCCCUAGUACUAAUCACAGGACUAAUUACUUAGUGUCUUAUUCAAAUUCCCAUCGUAAUGUUUGUUACGACUAAUGAGUAAACGACUUUCGUCACACACAAACAAACAAAGGCCUUCUGGCAAAUGAACACAUACUGCAGUACUCUCUGCAGUUAAGUAAAUCAAGCUGGCCAGGGCCACUAUUUGAGGAAAUAGGGUUGGCUAUGUUUAGCUUAAUCUUCCUACUAGUAAAAAAAACAAAAACAAAAAAAAAAUAUUGGCUGUGUCUCAAAUGGAACACUUCCAUCAUUACUUUCCAAAGGUUUCUGGGCCGUAUUUGUUUGGUGCUCACUAGUUGAUAAAAACCAAACAAGUCGACACCUCUUGUCAAUGUAAAACAAGGAAGUUAGGACCUGAGUGCAGGGUGGAUGAAGAUAUGGUCUUUUUUUUAAUGAAGAGGAGGAAGAAAAUGAAAAAUAUAAGUCUGAGAAAGUUAUGCAUCAGUUUCACUUUCCUUCAGAGCACAUAAAAGUGUGUUAAAGGACAAUCAAAGUGGGAAAUCCCAACACUUGAUUGAAAAAAUAAUUGAAACAAUGACCUACAAUACAAAAACUACACAAAGUUUUGUCUUUCAAAUAUAUAAAAGUAAACAACAAAGUCACAAAGAUGAUUAUCAAGGCUUACGUCAGGUUGAUCACCAAAAUAAAUAGUUAUCAAAUAAACUGCAAAAGUGGGACUGAUAAAAAAAAUAAAUUUACAUACAAUUGCACAGUGCCAAAAUACAUUAAUAAUAAAUAACAUUAUAUGCGUUUCUUAAAUAAACUGCCAAUACAAUCAAAGCGCAAAUGAAAACACAACUUCCCCACUAUAGUCAUAAUUUUUUGCGCUUAAAAAAACUCCAGGCGUUUUCUGUUUGUUUGUCAUUGUCAUUACUGCCACAAGUGGCGGAAAAGUGUAUUACAGCUUACGGCCCACAGGUGAGACAGAUAUUUUUUGGUGGCCCUCGUCCUACCGAUCAGAAAUAAUGACCUAUGAGGCAAAACCCACACAAAGUUUUGUUUUUCAAAUAUAUAAAAGUAAACAAUAAAGUCACAAAGAUGAUUAUCAAGGCUUAGGUCAGACUGAUCAAUAGUUUUGACUAAAUUAAUAAUGAAUAAAAACAUUAUAUAUUUUUCUUAAAUUGUCAAUACAAUUAAAGUGUAAAUGAAAACACAACUUCCCUACUUUAGUCAUAAUUUUUGCGCUUAAGAAACCUGUCUAUGACUUCAGCUCCAGGCUUCUGUUUGUUUGACAUUGUCAUUACUGCCACAAGUGGCGGAAAAGUGUAUUACAGCUGAGACAUAUAUUUUUGGUGGCCCUUGACCUACGGUUCAGAAACAAUGAGCUAUAAUACAAAACCCACACAAAGUUUCUUCUUUCAAAUAUAUAAAACUAAAUAACAAAGAUGAUUAUCAAGGCGUAUGUCAGACUGAUCACAAAAGUAAAUAGUUGUAACUAAAUUAAUAUCAAAUCAUAACAUUAUAUAUAUAUAUAUAUAUAUAUUAAAUUGUCAAUACAAUUAAAGUGUAAAUGAAAACACAACUUCCCUACUUUAGUCAUAAUUUUUGCGCUUAAGAAACCUGUCUAUGACUUCAACUCCAGGCUUCUGUUUUUUUGACAUUGUCAUUACUGCCACAAGUGGCGGAAAAGUGUAUUACAGCUGAGACAUAUAUUUUUGGUGGCCCUUGACCUACGGUUCAGAAACAAUGAGCUAUAAUACAAAACCCACACAAAGUUUCUUCUUUCAAAUAUAUAAAACUAAAUACCAAAGAUGAUUAUCAAGGCGUAUGUCAGACUGAUCACAAAAGUAAAUAGUUGUAACUAAAUUAAUAUCAAAUCAUAACAUUAUAUAUAUAUAUAUAUAUAUAUAUUAAAUUGUCAAUACAAUUAAAGUGUAAAUGAAAACACAACUUCCCUACUUUAGUCAUAUUUUUUGCGCUUAAGAAACCUGUCUAUGACUUCAACUCCAGGGUUCUGUUUUUUUGACAUUGUCAUUACUGCCACAAGUGGCGGAAAGGUGUAUUACAGCUGAGACAUAUAUUUUGGUGGCCCUUGACCUACGGUUCAGAAACAAUGAGCUAUAAUACAAAACCCACACAAAGUUUUGUCUUUAAAAUAUAUAAAACUAAAUAACAAAGAUGAUUAUCAAGGCUUAUGUCGGACUGGUCACAAAAGUAAAUAGUUGUAACUAAAUUAAUAUCAAAUCAUAACAUUAUAUAUAUAUAUAUUAAAUUGUCAAUACAAUUAAAGUGUAAAUGAAAACACAACUUCCCUACUUUAGUCAUAAUUUUUGCGCUUAAGAAAAACCUUUCUAUGACUUCAGCUCCAGGCUUCUGUUUUUUUGACAUUGUCAUUACUGCCACAAGUGGCGGAAAGGUGUAUUACAGCUGAGACAUAUAUUUUUGGUGGCCCUUGACCUACGGUUCAGAAACAAUGAGCUAUAAUACAAAACGCAACAACAUUUCUUCUUUCAAAUAUAUAAAAUCACUGAAAAAGAGUAAGUCGGAGAUAAGUAAGGAAGUGGGCCAACUGAGACACAGUCAACUCUGUCCGACCUGAAUGCAGCAAUGUAUGUGCUAAAAAUGAUAGAAAAAAAUAAAAAUAAAUAAUGGCUGGUGAUGCCCUGGUCCCUUCUGCAUCGACCUUUGACCCCCUUUGUCAUGAUGAUGGCUAUUAUUAACGAUUGUGUGGUCGGUGGCAGUGAUAUGUUCACUUUAUUGCUUUGUAUCAUCUCCCAGCUGUCUGCAGACUCCGUAUCGGCCAGCAUUGCACGUGUGCGACAUACUGUACAGUACAGUAGAGGUUUUUUUUCCCGUUUUUUUCAUUUCUUUUACUGAACCAAUCAGCUAUCAGGGAUGUUAUCAACAGCCGUGUAGCAUUACUGUCACCACGGCAACAGUAGCAUUACGUUAGACCGGUGUUGUCGCCUUCGAGGAAAACAAGCGACACGUGCUCGUUUUCACGUUUAAUUUAUCGGAUGUACAAAUUUUUUAUUUUUUUUUAUUUUUUCCGAGUGGAUGGAAUAUUCCGGACUUUCGCCAGUGUGCAAGUGGGAGCGUGACAAUGGAAAGUAGUCAUUAUAGCUUCCUCCCCUCUCUCCGGUGUCAUGUAGCCCGUAGACAUGCCCCCGUGUCCUGUUACCGUGAUUGCGCAAUAGUGUCCAGUCACUGUCCACUUCCUGCAUGUGCUUGUUUGUAAAUACACACAAUAAAAAACCCUCAGUAUGAACCGAA